AGGGUAACGUCUGGCUGUCUCGUCAGAGACUGCAGCAGAUCAAACAGUGAAACACACACAGUUUUCCUCGCAUAUACGCAGACGCAUCCACUCAUGCGCACCUAGAUUCACUUUCACUUUCAAACACACACACACACACACACACACACACACACACACACACACGCACGCACACGUACACGGAUUUCUUCCCGAACGCACGCUAACGCACGGACGCACACGCAAGUAUACUCAUUUUAUCACAUACACGGGCAAAUAUGCGCACACAUGCAGUUCUACAGGCACGCACGCACGCAUACAUAACCAGACUCACUUUGUGACACACACACACACACACACACACACACACAUUAUUUCAGUGUUUCAAGACCUAAGUGAGCGAAUCCUGGCAAUGUCCACCUCUUCCGCACCGGAGAGGUGCCAGUUCGUCCCUGGACAGUGGACUGUCACGGUCAACCCUCAGUCUCGGUUUGGCCACGGCUUAGUGACGAUGUUACGGGAUUUGCGGCGACGGGAUUUUCGGAUAACUUUUCUUUCCUUUGCCUUAUAAUAGUGCCACAUUAUUACAAGAUCCACUUUUCUCAGAUAUAACAUUCAUGAAGUGAAGAGAUAAGGGAAGCUGCCAAACUUUGAAAAAAACAUGUGUAUUAUUACACAACGCAGUGGAUUGCUUAGCUUCGCAGCGCUUCGUGUUGCUAAGAGUAUAUGGAGAAAUACAAACCAUCGUACGAGAAGACCAGGUCGAGGAGGAGGAGGAAGGAAGGAAGAGAUAGAGGAAGAUGAGAAGAGGAACACAAGGAAGGAAGGAAUUAAGAGAAAAAAAUAUAAGUGUUUCUCUUCCACAUUGCACAAAUACACUGGCUCAAAGACAAGAAAAACAAGGAAGAGGAUCAUUGCACAGAUGUCACCAAGCCACCCAGCCAGCCAGCCAGUCAGUCAGUCAGCCAAUCAGUUAACCACACACCCAGCCGGCCAGUCAGCCAGCAAGACAGUCAAUUGUGUUAAGAUAUGGAGAAACACAGACCAACGUACGAGAAGAACAGGUAGAGGAGGAGGAUGAAGGAAGGAAGAGAUAGAGGAAGAUGAGAAGAGGAACAUAAGGAAGGAAGGAAUUAAGAGAAAAAAACAUAAGGUUGGGGGGCGGGAGACGAGAACGAAGCAACAUCAGUAGCUCAGAAUGGCGCCUGGACCAGUAUUACUCCAGACACCACGCUCGCUACAUCUCUCCAGUCACCACGCUACCAGCGGCCCCUCCAGUCAACGCAGCCCAGUGUUCGUCUUUUGUCGUGGGUUUGACGUUCAGCAGCGGCAGGAACAGCAACGGGAAGCUUGAUCUGCGUGACGGAGGGUUUUCGUGCGGCGGGGUGACGUGCUGCUGAUGUGAGGUUAGCGGACCACACCACCCCACAGCAACCCACAGCACAGCACACCACACCACAGCGGAGGAGAAAUUAGUGGCGUUGACGAUCCAAAGGCCCUGACUCCACAGCGGUAAUGAGCCUCUUCUACCUUGCACUUCACGGACAACGCUCACACCUCUGCCUCCGCCACCGACGCAAGAUUGGGAAAGGACUCGCUGCUUCUUAACGACCGCCACCGCCGCUGCCGCCGUUGAGGGAGACUGGCUGGAUGAGUGGGUGAUGAUGAGAGGCGAGGCAGGUGUGGUGAGGAGGCGGAUUGGCGACGAGAACCAACAGAUGACGGCAGACACGGAAGAUUCCACUAACCAGGUAGAUGAUGAUGGUGUGGGUGUGAGGAUUGGGUGUGGUUGAAGUUUGAGGGGGUUUGACGUGGUGUGGUUUACCGAGAAUGGCGUGGGAGAUGUGAGAAUGAAGGGAUGGGAGUGUUAGGACGGUUAAGGGCCAGGAUGUUACGUAACACGGGAGACGCUGGGAGGAGAACGAGGGAGGAGGGUGUAUAUGUAAACUGGAGUUGUAAGUGGAAUAACGAUCGAGGAGGGCGAGUGAGAGGCUGACUGAGGCCGUGAAGUGGCGUUAAUUUUUGUCCAUUACAGGAGUUGGUGAUCCGAAGCCGUGAUUGCAGCGAUCCCGUGCGUCCUGCACCAUCAGAGAAGGACUCUGGCUUAGCACUGCGCCUGCAUUGACUCCACCCCUCUCCCUUACCCAACCAACUCCGGCGCCUCCGUCCCCGCGGCUACCGCUACUCGGCGGUGGGGUACUGCCUCGCAUUGGACCUUCACUGCCGUCCCGCUAAUACGUGCCGCCGUCGCCGCUACUGGCACUUAAAUAAUUUUCAACUUAACAUAAAAAGAUCUGCAC
This is a long non-coding RNA of Portunus trituberculatus (swimming crab), 2279 nucleotides long. RefSeq lists it as uncharacterized. The transcript has 6 exons. Lineage: Eukaryota; Metazoa; Arthropoda; Malacostraca; Decapoda; Portunidae. The record is from RefSeq and is a predicted model, not a curated record.